AGUUGGUUAGUCAGUACGAGCGCAACCCUUAUCCUUAUUUGCCAGCGCAUCAUGGCGGGAACUAUAAGGAGACUGCCGGUCAUAAACCGGAGGAAGGCGGGGACGACGUCAAGUCAUCAUGGCCCUUAUGGGUAGGGCUACACACGUGAUACAAUGGGUGGUACAGAGGGUCGCCAAAGCGCGAGCUGGAGCCAAACCCUUAAAACCAUUCUUAGUCCGGAUUGGAGUCUGCAACUCGACUCCAUGAAGUUGGAAUCGCUAGUAAUCGCGAAUCAGAAUGUCGCGGUGAAUACGUUCUCGGGCCUUGUACACACCGCCCGUCACGUCAUGGAAGUGGGUUGCACCAGAAGUGGCUUGUUUAACCUUCGGGAAAACGGUCACCACGGUGUGAUUCACAACUGGGACGAAGUCGUAACAAGGUAGCCCUAGGGGAACCUGGGGCUGGAUCACCUCCUU
Molecule: ribosomal RNA, 456 nt
Filed under: uncultured marine bacterium 311
Lineage: Bacteria
Description: bacterial SSU rRNA
Rfam family: Bacterial small subunit ribosomal RNA
Source: RNAcentral